Molecule: ribosomal RNA, 707 nt
Filed under: uncultured soil bacterium
Lineage: Bacteria
Description: bacterial SSU rRNA
Rfam family: Bacterial small subunit ribosomal RNA
Source: RNAcentral
UGCAAGUCGAGCGGCAGCGCGGGGGCAACCCUGGCGGCGAGCGGCGAACGGGUGAGUAAUGCAUCGGAACGUGUCCUCUUGUGGGGGAUAACCAGUCGAAAGACUGGCUAAUACCGCAUGAGAUCUCACGAUGAAAGCGAGGGACCGCAAGGCCUCGCGCGAUUGGAGCGGCCGAUGUCGGAUUAGCUAGUUGGCGGGGUAAAAGCCCACCAAGGCGACGAUCCGUAGCUGGUUUGAGAGAACGACCAGCCACACUGGGACUGAGACACGGCCCAGACUCCUACGGGAGGCAGCAGUGGGGAAUUUUGGACAAUGGGCGCAAGCCUGAUCCAGCCAUGCCGCGUGUGUGAAGAAGGCCUUCGGGUUGUAAAGCACUUUCGGCCGGAACGAAAUCGCCUUUGUUAAUAGCGAGGGUGGAUGACGGUACCGGAAGAAGAAGCACCGGCUAACUACGUGCCAGCAGCCGCGGUAAUACGUAGGGUGCGAGCGUUAAUCGGAAUUACUAGGCGUAAAGGGUGCGCAGGCGGCGUCGCAAGUCAGGCGUGAAAUCCCCGGGCUUAACCUGGGAACUGCACUUGAAACUACGAUGCUGGAGUAUGGCAGAGGGAGGUGGAAUUCCACGUGUAGCGGUGAAAUGCGUAGAGAUGUGGAGGAACACCGAUGGCGAAGGCAGCCUCCUGGGCCAAUACUGACGCUCAUGCACGAAA